ACACGACUACAUUAGAUACCCCCUGUAGUCCUAGCCUAAACGAUACUCGCUAGGUGUCGGCCACGGUGCGACCGUUGUCGGUGCCGUAGGGAAGCCGUGAAGCGAGCCACCUGGGAAGUACGGCCGCAAGGCUGAAACUUAAGGAAUUGGCGGGGAGCACCGCAACGGGAGGAGCGUGCGGUUCAAUUGGAUUCAACGCCGAAAAACUCACCAGGAGCGACGGAUAUAUGAAGGUCAAGCUGAUGACUUUACCUGAUUUUCCG
RNAcentral lists this ribosomal RNA (263 nucleotides) under uncultured archaeon. RNAcentral describes it as "partial 16S ribosomal RNA". It matches the Rfam family "Archaeal small subunit ribosomal RNA", at positions 717 to 982 of the family's 1478-position model. The record is from RNAcentral.